GUAGAUUAGUUUGAUCCUGGCUCAGAACGAACGCUGGCGGCAGGCCUAACACAUGCAAGUCGAACGCCCCGCAAGGGGAGUGGCAGACGGGUGAGUAACGCGUGGGAACCUACCUAUUGGUGCGGAAUAACUCGGGGAAACCCGUGCUAAUACCGCAUAAGCCCGAGAGGGGAAAGAUUUAUCGCCGAUAGAUGGGCCCGCGUCGGAUUAGCUUGUUGGUGAGGUAAUGGCUCACCAAGGCGACGAUCCGUAGCUGGUCUGAGAGGAUGAUCAGCCACACUGGGACUGAGACACGGCCCAGACUCCUACGGGAGGCAGCAGUGGGGAAUAUUGGACAAUGGGGGAAACCCUGAUCCAGCCAUGCCGCGUGAGUGACGAAGGCCUUAGGGUUGUAAAGCUCUUUUGGCGGGGACGAUAAUGACGGUACCCGCAGAAUAAGCCCCGGCUAACUUCGUGCCAGCAGCCGCGGUAAUACGAAGGGGGCUAGCGUUGUUCGGAAUCACUGGGCGUAAAGCGCACGUAGGCGGACUUGUUAGUCAGGGGUGAAAUCCCGGGGCUCAACCCCGGAACUGCCUCUGAAACUGCAAGUCUUGAGUCCGAGAGAGGUGAGUGGAAUUCCUAGUGUAGAGGUGAAAUUCGUAGAUAUUAGGAAGAACACCAGUGGCGAAGCGGCUCACUGGCUCGGUACUGACGCUGAGUGCGAAAGCGUGGGGAGCAAACAGGAUUAGAUACCCUGUAGUCCACGCCGUAAACGAUGGAUGCUAGCCGUCGGCAAGCUUGCUUGUCGGUGGCGCAGCUAC
This 800-nucleotide ribosomal RNA is filed under the name uncultured Filomicrobium sp. RNAcentral's name for it is "bacterial SSU rRNA". It matches the Rfam family "Bacterial small subunit ribosomal RNA", at positions 1 to 855 of the family's 1533-position model. The record is from RNAcentral. Lineage: Bacteria; Pseudomonadati; Pseudomonadota; Alphaproteobacteria; Hyphomicrobiales; Hyphomicrobiaceae.